UAGGGAAUCUUCCGCAAUGGGCGAAAGCCUGACGGAGCAACGCCGCGUGAGUGAUGAAGGUCUUCGGAUCGUAAAACUCUGUUAUUAGGGAAGAACAAAUGUGUAAGUAACUAUGCACGUCUUGACGGUACCUAAUCAGAAAGCCACGGCUAACUACGUGCCAGCAGCCGCGGUAAUACGUAGGUGGCAAGCGUUAUCCGGAAUUAUUGGGCGUAAAGCGCGCGUAGGCGGUUUUUUAAGUCUGAUGUGAAAGCCCACGGCUCAACCGUGGAGGGUCAUUGGAAACUGGAAAACUUGAGUGCAGAAGAGGAAAGUGGAAUUCCAUGUGUAGCGGUGAAAUGCGCAGAGAUAUGGAGGAACACCAGUGGCGAAGGCGACUUUCUGGUCUGUAACUGACGCUGAUGUGCGAAAGCGUGCGGAUCAAACAGG
Molecule: ribosomal RNA, 429 nt
Filed under: Actinomycetes bacterium
Lineage: Bacteria; Bacillati; Actinomycetota; Actinomycetes
Description: Actinobacteria bacterium partial 16S ribosomal RNA
Rfam family: Bacterial small subunit ribosomal RNA
Source: RNAcentral